Molecule: long non-coding RNA, 364 nt
Filed under: Nicotiana benthamiana
Lineage: Eukaryota; Viridiplantae; Streptophyta; Magnoliopsida; Solanales; Solanaceae
Description: long non-coding RNA (NBEN_LNC038652)
Source: RNAcentral
UGGCCUCCACUUCUGGUAGUCUGAGCUCCACCUCUAUGACCUCUACCUCCACUUAUGGCACCUCUACCCCCACCUCUAGCUGGUUGGGCAGGCUGUGGAACACCUGGUGCUUGAACCAUGGCACGAUAACCCUGGUGUUGAGAACUGCUCGGUGCUCGGGGGUAAAAUCUGGCAAUAUGACCUGUGUCACCACAAGUGUAAUAAGUCCUCGGCUGCUGAUUCUGCUGGCCCUGUUGACCUGAAUGACCACCACGGAAACUCUAAAGUGGCGUGCAUUGAUAGGAGCUGGCAGUGCACUAAAUGGCAGCUAAUCAGAAUAGUGCGCGUGAGAACCACGACCACCUGAGGAAUCGUUAAACACCUG